This 206-nucleotide ribosomal RNA is filed under the name uncultured bacterium. RNAcentral describes it as "partial 16S ribosomal RNA". It matches the Rfam family "Bacterial small subunit ribosomal RNA", at positions 524 to 729 of the family's 1533-position model. The record is from RNAcentral.
UACGGGGGGGGCAAGCGUUGUUCGGAAUUACUGGGCGUAAAGGGCUCGUAGGUGGCCAACUAAGUCAUACGUGAAAUCCCUCAGCUUAACUGGGGAACUGCGUCUGAUACUGGAUGGCUUGAGUUUGGGAGAGGGAUGCGGAAUUCCAGGUGUAGCGGUGAAAUGCGUAGAUAUCUGGAGGAACACCGGUGGCGAAGGCGGCUCAC